This 26-nucleotide non-coding RNA is filed under the name Homo sapiens (human). Lineage: Eukaryota; Metazoa; Chordata; Mammalia; Primates; Hominidae. The record is from RNAcentral.
UGCUGAAGAGGAAACUAGAUGUGGAG